RNAcentral lists this ribosomal RNA (653 nucleotides) under Vibrio cholerae. RNAcentral's name for it is "partial 23S ribosomal RNA". It matches the Rfam family "Bacterial large subunit ribosomal RNA", at positions 2210 to 2857 of the family's 2925-position model. The record is from RNAcentral. Lineage: Bacteria; Pseudomonadati; Pseudomonadota; Gammaproteobacteria; Vibrionales; Vibrionaceae.
AUGUUUGAUGUUCUAACUUAGACCCGUUAUCCGGGUUGAGGACAGUGCCUGGUGGGUAGUUUGACUGGGGCGGUCUCCUCCCAAAGAGUAACGGAGGAGCACGAAGGUGGGCUAAUCACGGUUGGACAUCGUGAGGUUAGUGCAAUGGCAUAAGCCCGCUUAACUGCGAGAAUGACGGUUCGAGCAGGUGCGAAAGCAGGUCAUAGUGAUCCGGUGGUUCUGUAUGGAAGGGCCAUCGCUCAACGGAUAAAAGGUACUCCGGGGAUAACAGGCUGAUACCGCCCAAGAGUUCAUAUCGACGGCGGUGUUUGGCACCUCGAUGUCGGCUCAUCACAUCCUGGGGCUGAAGUCGGUCCCAAGGGUAUGGCUGUUCGCCAUUUAAAGUGGUACGCGAGCUGGGUUUAGAACGUCGUGAGACAGUUCGGUCCCUAUCUGCCGUGGGCGUUGGAAGAUUGAAGGGGGCUGCUCCUAGUACGAGAGGACCGGAGUGGACGAACCUCUGGUGUUCGGGUUGUGUCGCCAGACGCAUUGCCCGGUAGCUAAGUUCGGAAUUGAUAAGCGCUGAAAGCAUCUAAGCGCGAAGCGAGCCCUGAGAUGAGUCUUCCCUGAUACUUUAAGUAUCCUAAAGGGUUGUUCGAGACUAGAACGUUGAU